ACAACAGCAUUGGUAAAAUUAUAAAAGGCGGGAUUAUAAAUGAUGUAAACAGAUGUUUACACUGACUACCAACAACAGCUUAAGAGUUCUUUUUUGGUUCCUUUUGCCUAGAAAACUAGAAUCAACCUUCACAAAGGAGAAGAAAACAUACUUUGCCCAUUAUGGCCCCUCUAACCUGCGGUCGUCAUUGGCUGACCUAUACUAUUAGAAUUAAUUUCAGAGACUGAAGUCAUGCAAAAUUUAAAAACAAUAAUUAAAACACUGCUGUAACAAAAGUAUUUCCCCCGGGUGUAGCUAACUGCUAGGCUACGGAUCCAGCCAACAUGGAGAGAAAAGUUCUGGCACUCCAGGCGAGGAAGAAGAGGGGCAAGGCGAAGAGGACCAGAAAAAAGCAGCCAGGCAAUGCCAGAGCUCGACAGCCAACCCAGCAGGAAGUCUCACCUCAGGAACCUGAAGAACCUGAAGAGAUUCUGGGAUCUGAUGAUGAGGAACAGGAGGACCCCAAUGACUACUGCAAAGUGGAUUAUAUUACUUUGUGCUCAUGUUGGCUCCAACUGCUGUGCUCCGUUCACCCACCCAACUAAACAAACCUGUUAUUGUACUGCUAGUGACUCAUCCUUGUUUGUUACACUCCUGCACUAAAACACAAACAAAUCAAGGAUAUGUAGCCUUUAUCUGUCAUCUUUGUCCCCUUUAAGAGGACCUGCUUCCACUUCUUUUCUCGUACAUUUUCAUUAGUGCUGUGUUGUUUUUUUAAAUGGAUUAUUUUAUCUUAUAAACACAUGUAAGGUAUAUAUUUUGUAUUUGUAAAGUAGGCGUAGGAAGUUGCACACUGGGCUGACAUUUACACUGACUGUGGUGAUAGCCUUUCUGAGGAUAGACACUCUAGUUUACCUGAAACAUCCACUGUCUGAUGAAGUAGGUCAUUAUUUAGACAUAACAAACCUGAUGUUGGUGUAGGUUAGUUAGUUAUAAUAUAUGAGAUCUUUCAUUCUCAUGGGAGGCUGGUAUUCUCAUACACCGAUCACAAUUCAGGAAUAUAGUGUUUUCAAAGGUUUCAACAAGACAACAUGUUAGGAAGCCCAAUCGAAAGGAAAGAAGAGGAAAUAAACUGUAUAUAUCUGUACCAAAGAGUUUGCCUUUAUGUAUAUUACAGUUAUGUACAGUUUUUAACAAAUCCUAUAUCUUAGCUAAAAUUAUUUAGCUGGGUAGCUGUGUUUUAAUAAAGCGUAUGGAAGAUGUGUUCGAGCUCAGUUGUAUGUAUGGCCAACUGUCCAAUAAUGUCACUGUUUUUAGAAAUGGUGAGAUCUGGUGUUACGUCAUGGUGUCCAAAAUUGAUCAUAUCAAAGUAAACUAUCUGUUCAAGUCAACGAAAAAACAAAAUUUACAUCAGUUUCAGAUUCAAGAUCUUAGAUUUUGUGUGAGCUGUCGAUUAAAAAAAAAACCAAACUGUAC
Molecule: long non-coding RNA, 1455 nt
Organism: Notolabrus celidotus (New Zealand spotty)
Lineage: Eukaryota; Metazoa; Chordata; Actinopteri; Labriformes; Labridae
Exons: 2
Source: RefSeq, a predicted model, not a curated record